RNAcentral lists this ribosomal RNA (253 nucleotides) under uncultured bacterium. Its description in RNAcentral is "partial 16S ribosomal RNA". It matches the Rfam family "Bacterial small subunit ribosomal RNA", at positions 524 to 776 of the family's 1533-position model. The record is from RNAcentral.
UACGUGAGGGGCGAACGUUGUUCGGUGUCACUGGGCUUAAAGGGUGCGUAGGUGGUUGCGUAAGUAAGGUGUGAAAUCCCUCGGCUUACCCGGGGAAUUGCAUUUUAUACUGCGUGGCUUGAGGACUAAAGGGGAAAAGGGAACUCCAGGUGUAGCGGUGAAAUGCGCAGAUAUCUGGGGGAAGGCCGGCGGCGAAGGCGCUUUUCUGGUUAGUACCUGACACUGAGGCACGAAAGCGUGGGGAGCAAACAGG